UACGUAGGGUGCGAGCGUUAUUCGGAAUUACUGGGCGUAAAGCGUGCGCAGGCGGUUUUGUAAGCCAGAUGUGAAAGCCCCGGGCUCAACCUGGGAAUGGCAUUUGGGACUGCAAGGCUGGAGUUUGGCAGAGGAGACUGGAAUUCCUGGUGUAGCAGUGAAAUGCGUAGAUAUCAGGAGGAAUACCGAUGGCGAAGGCAGGUCUCUGGGCUAUAACUGACGCUCAUGCACGAAAGCGUGGGGAUCAAACAGG
This 253-nucleotide ribosomal RNA is filed under the name uncultured bacterium. RNAcentral's name for it is "partial 16S ribosomal RNA". It matches the Rfam family "Bacterial small subunit ribosomal RNA", at positions 524 to 776 of the family's 1533-position model. The record is from RNAcentral.